This 253-nucleotide ribosomal RNA is filed under the name uncultured bacterium. RNAcentral's name for it is "partial 16S ribosomal RNA". It matches the Rfam family "Bacterial small subunit ribosomal RNA", at positions 524 to 776 of the family's 1533-position model. The record is from RNAcentral.
GACGGAGGGUGCUAGCGUUGUUCGGAAUUACUGGGCGUAAGGGGCGCGUAGGCGGUCUCGUCAGUCGGGUGUGAAAGCCCGGGGCUCAACCCCGGAACGGCACCCGAGACGGCGGGACUGGAGACCGGGAGAGGAGGGUGGAAUAGCCAGUGUAGAGGUGAAAUUCGUAGAUAUUGGCUGGAACACCGGUGGCGAAGGCGGAUCUCUGGGCCUUGCCUGACGCUGAGGCGCGAAAGCUAGGGGAGCGAACAGG